UACCGUGAAACUGCGAAUGGCUCAUUAAAUCAGUUAUCGUUUAUUUGAUAGUACCUUACCACUUGGAUAACCGUGGUAAUUCUAGAGCUAAUACAUGCUAAAAACCCCGACUUCGGAAGGGGUGUGUUUAUUAGAUAAAAAACCAAUGCCCUUCGGGGCUCUUUGGUGAUUCAUGAUAACCUAACGGAUCGCAUGGCCUUGCGCCGGCGACGGUUCAUUCAAAUUUCUGCCCUAUCAACUUUCGAUGGUAAGGUAUUGGCUUACCAUGGUUUCAACGGGUAACGGGGAAUUAGGGUUCGAUUCCGGAGAGGGAGCCUGAGAAACGGCUACCACAUCCAAGGAAGGCAGCAGGCGCGCAAAUUACCCAAUCCCGACACGGGGAGGUAGUGACAAUAAAUACUGAUACAGGGCUCUUUUGGGUCUUGUAAUUGGAAUGAGUACAAUUUAAACCCCUUAACGAGGAACAAUUGGAGGGCAAGUCUGGUGCCAGCAGCCGCGGUAAUUCCAGCUCCAAUAGCGUAUAUUAAAGUUGUUGCAGUUAAAAAGCUCGUAGUUGAAACUUGGGUCUGGCUAGCGGGUCCGCCUCACCGCGUGCACUUGUCCGGCUGGACCUUUCCUUCUGGAGAACCUCAUGCCCUUCACUGGGUGUGUUGGGGAACCAGGACUUUUACUUUGAAAAAAUUAGAGUGUUCAAAGCAGGCCUUUGCUCGAAUACGUUAGCAUGGAAUAAUAGAAUAGGACGUGCGGUCCUAUUUUGUUGGUUUCUAGGAUCGCCGUAAUGAUUAAUAGGGAUAGUCGGGGGCAUCAGUAUUCAAUUGUCAGAGGUGAAAUUCUUGGAUUUAUUGAAGACUAACUACUGCGAAAGCAUUUGCCAAGGAUGUUUUCAUUAAUCAGUGAACGAAAGUUAGGGGAUCGAAGACGAUCAGAUACCGUCGUAGUCUUAACCGUAAACUAUGCCGACUAGGGAUCGGGCGAUGUUUCUAUCUUGACUCGCUCGGCACCUUACGAGAAAUCAAA
Molecule: ribosomal RNA, 1017 nt
Filed under: Camposporium dulciaquae
Lineage: Eukaryota; Fungi; Ascomycota; Dothideomycetes; Pleosporales; Melanommataceae
Description: SSU rRNA
Rfam family: Eukaryotic small subunit ribosomal RNA
Source: RNAcentral